GUAUUUGUAGUAUAUGUUCUUGUCUGCAAUGCUUUGCUAAAAUUGGGUACUUUAAAAUCAUGUGGCUUUGAUUUUUGUUCUUCACAAACUGUUAGAAUGUGUCUUUGUCAUUAAAUAUUUAGGACUUUGUAUUUAGUUUACACGCUUAAUGUAUAAUUCCUCAUGUCAAGUUAUAGACUAAUUGCUCUUAUUACAUCCCUAUAUGCUCCAUUAAAUUUUAUUUUUUUUGCAUAUGAAUGUGUCCGGGAAAGUCGUCAUGCCUAGAUUUCUGAUAAUUCAUAUUAGGCUCAUCUUUAACUUUCCAUCCAUNN
Molecule: long non-coding RNA, 311 nt
Filed under: Solanum tuberosum (potato)
Lineage: Eukaryota; Viridiplantae; Streptophyta; Magnoliopsida; Solanales; Solanaceae
Description: long non-coding RNA (STUB_LNC001762)
Source: RNAcentral